GGGGGAACGGCUGUUUAUGAGGGUGGAUGGUGAUAGGACAAGGGGGAAUGGUUUUAAACUGAGACAGGGGAGGUUUAAGUUGGAUAUUAGGAGGAAGUUUUUCCCCCAGAGGGUGGUGACGCACUGAACAGGUUGCCCAAGGAGGCUGUGGAUGCCCCAUCCCUGCAGGCAUUCAAGGCCAGGCUGGAUGUGGCUCUGGGCAGCCUGGGCUGCUGGUUGGCGACCCUGCACAUAGCAGGGGGUUGGAACUGGAUGAGCACUGUGGGUCUUUUCAACCCAGGCCAUUCUAUGAUUCUAUGAUCCAUCCAGUUUUCAAGAGCCAUGGGGAUGGGCACUGAGGGGCACAGUGGGCUGGGGUUGGGCUUGGGGGUCUUAGAGAGCUCUUC
Molecule: long non-coding RNA, 386 nt
Filed under: Gallus gallus (chicken)
Lineage: Eukaryota; Metazoa; Chordata; Aves; Galliformes; Phasianidae
Description: lncRNA (ENSGALG00010011138.1)
Source: RNAcentral